UACGAAGGAUCCAAGCGUUAUCCGGAUUCAUUGGGUUUAAAGGGUGCGUAGGCGGCUAAGUAAGUCAGUGGUGAAAUCUCUCGGCUCAACCGAGAAACUGCCAUUGAUACUGCGUAGCUAGAGUACAGAUGAUGUUGGCGGAAUGUGUCAUGUAGCGGUGAAAUGCAUAGAUAUGACACAGAACACCGAUUGCGAAGGCAGCUGACAAAACUGUAACUGACGCUGAUGCACGAAAGUGCGGGGAUCAAACAGG
This 253-nucleotide ribosomal RNA is filed under the name uncultured bacterium. RNAcentral describes it as "partial 16S ribosomal RNA". It matches the Rfam family "Bacterial small subunit ribosomal RNA", at positions 524 to 776 of the family's 1533-position model. The record is from RNAcentral.